CGGCGUUUAUGCAUAUGGAAGUUUUAAUGCGUUGAUCUUCACUGUCAGUUGUGCGACGAGAAGACAGAUUCGGAUUUCAUUCAUGAAGAGUGUCAGCACACCAUAUUUCCCUGUUCCAGGAAGUGAGAAUUGAAUCUGAAAGGAAAGUGAUCCGUUCAAGAUUGCUGUUGUCUGCCUCCAGUCCCCAGCAAGCAUUGUGAGGCUUUUAGGUUUGGGGUCUCAUGAAAGGAUUUCACUUGGCCAUGAGGCUGAGGUUGUUGACCCCUCUUCGGACAUCAUAAACAGAGGAAGAAAGGAUGGAGAUGGAGUGAAGGAAGGAUAUGCCAUGAACAAAUGAAUGGUCAUUUGGAACUUCAAUUUUUUAAGAGGUAUUUGAAGGAAUUUUCACCCACCCUUCCCUGCAGAUCACUUCGAGUUCUGAGAUGCUCUUGGGCCGUCUUACAUGCACAGCAUGUUUAGGAUCUACCCACAGAUUUUCAAUGAUGUUCAAGUCAGGGGACUGUGAGGGCCAUUCCAAAAGCUUCAGUUUGUGUUUCUUGAAGUAAUUCAUGGUGGAUUUUGAGGUAUGUUUUGGAUCAUUGUCCUGUUGUAGAAGCCAACCUCUUUUCAGCUUCAGUUUUUUGACUGACUGUGUGACAUUUGCCUCCAGAAUUUGUUGAUAUUUAGAGGAAUCCAUUCUUCCCUCUACCUGUGCAAUGUUUCCUGUGCCACUGGUUGGCACACAACCAAAGCAUAAUAGAUCCACCCCCAUGCUUAACAGUUGUUAAGGUGUUUUCAUCAAAUGUUGCUCCUUUUUUUCUCCAAACAUACCUUUGGUGAUUAUGGCCAAAGAGUUCCAUUUUUAAUUCAUCAGUCCACAGCACUCAUUUCCAAAAUUCCUCUGUCUUAUUUAGAUGUUGUUUUGCAUACUUCAGACAUUGACUUUUGUGAUGAAGUCGCAGGUAAGGUUUCCUUCUGUCGAUUCUUCCACGCAGAUCAUGUUUGUGCAACACUGCACAGUGGAAUGGUGCACCACCACUCCUGUGUUAGCUGAACCUUCCUGCAGGUCCUUUGCAGUCACAUAGGGGUUUUGCUUUGCCUUACUGCCCAGCAGGCUCGGGGAGUGAUGGAAUACACAGAACAGCGUUACAUAAAAAGUAACUGUAUUCCGUUACAGUUAUAGGAAAAAAGACGGCAGAUUACGGACGCAUUUAUUAAAUAUGGGGAUUAUUA
This is a long non-coding RNA of Megalops cyprinoides (Indo-Pacific tarpon), 1212 nucleotides long. RefSeq lists it as uncharacterized. Lineage: Eukaryota; Metazoa; Chordata; Actinopteri; Elopiformes; Megalopidae. The transcript has 5 exons. The record is from RefSeq and is a predicted model, not a curated record.